UAAGCAAAACUGGUUCUAAAGAUGAUGAAUAAAGGACUUUGGUACAAGGAAACUCCACCUUUUAAUACAGUGCAAUUUUGGGUCACCAUCUUUCUCUUAAAUAACUUUCCUAUUUGUUGAAGUAAACAUUUUAUAAAGCUCGAUUUCCUAACUCACAAACCUAGUCACACAAGUUUAUCUAGAGACUAUGUGGUCUUCUUUGGAAGAAUAAACCAACAAAUUUGCCUUAAAUGAAGGUUAGAAUGUGACAAAGGAUAUAGAGAGCCAAUGUGGUGAAGUGAAUAGUGCUGUGUGCAGCGUUUAUUAAUUUAUAUUUUGCUCUGUAGUAAAAUCCUGUUAUAGUGAACCCAGUGAUACUGUAAACAUUUCCCGAUGUUCUUAUUCCAAUUGAAGAAAAAAGCACUAUAACAGUGAUUGGACACUUGACAGCAUAAUUCAUCACAAUAAAUUAUUCCAUGGAAACAAGACCUUUGUCAUUUGUUUAAUAUGAAUGUAGAAGAACAUAAAAAUUGUUACACUGCAAUACAGACUAGAGCUUGUGGUCCCGUUUUCACUAGUUACUGGCUGAAAUAGUAAAUACUAGGGAAAGCAAGGCCAAACAUUCUAGUCUGCUCAAAAAUGAGUGGUUAUAGCAGGAGUGUGUCUUCUUUAUUCUCUGCGAUAUCCGUUAAGUCUUUCUCCAGUGUACAUCUUUGCAGAAGGUCGGAUGUCUGAGGGGAGGGAGAAGUGCUUUCUUGCACAUGUCUCAAUGAGUGUUGGGAUUUUGUAGCUCUUUCAUUGGAGAAAAGGGCAUUCCUUGGAGGGACUUGCUGAGUGAGUGGUGGGAGAGUGGAAGUCAGCACUCUGCCAGAUGUGUUGGGAGAACUUUUUUUUUUCCCCUAAUCUGCUCUCGUAUCAGAAAGAGAAGUCAAUCUUUACUAUAUGAACAGUUACUGAAUACAAGAUGCCUUAAUGUCCUUUAUUUUGGUUUGUUUUGAGAUGAACUUUAAUAAAUGCCUAUUUAUCUGCUGUGGUAUGUGUUUAUUUUUGUAAAAUUUUGUAUUGCCUACUGCACUUCCAGGCCAAGUUUGAACUUGCAAAGGAUUUUCUAUUACAAAGAAAGCAUUCUUAAAAAUGGGUGGAAGAAUUCUAUCUUCCCUCUUGGUAUAUGUUGAUGUGUUUUUCAGGGUAGCUGUGUUUGUUAUUAACGUGAGGGUCAGUCAUCCCCCUGAGAGUCAUAGGAGAAUAUCGAUUACCUUGAGUACACGCAGCAAGUCCGGUGUCUCCUGGCAGGAGUGCACUCACUGCACACGCUAGGCACAGCGUUUGGGGAGGGGGAGAGGUGAGGUGAGAGGCACAGGCUGUGGAUGCUGUGAUCGGUGGUGCUGAGAGCCUUUGUAGCCCAUACAGGAUAGCUCCUGUGACUGUCGUAUCAGGACUUCAGUUGAUGGAGUGGAAGUGUUUAUGCUGCUGCCUGUGUCGAGAGAGCUUAUAUGCAACGUACAUAAUAAUACUACAUAAUUGUAUUUAUUUCUGUUUUAGCAAGGGAGGAUACACUAAAUGUAUUGCAAAAUUACUGCUUGUCUUCACAUAUAUAUAUGUAUUUUAAAAUACAUUAAAAAAAUGUUGCACGAAAUGUGACUGCAGGUGAAGGAAAAAAAGUUGACUUUGUUCGUUGUUUUCAGUCUUCUGAAGAUACUGUGAAGAGAUCUGAAAGAAAUACGGUCUGUACUGCUGUCAUCCACCAAGAAGCUGUAGAUUUCACUGCAACACUUGGGUUAAAAUCAAGAAAUGUAUGUGCUUCUUCAAGAAGGAAAAUACUAUUAAUUCUUAAAGAAUUGUUAAUUUUAGAAAGUCAUGAUUUCUUCUGGAACUCACAUUUAGUAAAAGCUGGUAAAGUACACAAGGAAGGACAUUUUCCAAAUGAUUCAGUGUUGCCUUUGACAUAAAUGGGAGGCUCAUGGCUGCAAUCUGAGCAAGAGUGCCUAGCAGGGAGUGAGUAACACUGCGGGGAGAAGUUACUCUGGUAGUAACAUGGUGAGCCCGUAACAGGGAAGGUCAUUUAGCUUUAGUCUCUGCCAGCAUCAGAAUGGGCAGCACUAUCUUCUAUUCACAAUGUCUCCAAGGGACAUCGACUUGUCUUCCCUAGUAUCCUUGGUGUAUAAAUCAAGUUGCCAUGACAAUUUGUCUGAAUAGAUUAGUUAGGGAGGGACAAAUAAGAACCACAUCUCUUGCUUUUUUAGUAUUACUGUGUGUGAUGGCUAACUUGUUAACUUUGUGAAAUGCCUGAUUUUUCAGCUCCUCGUCUGCCUGUAAAUCACAUGCUCUUGUGAAGAUAUCCAGGCAGUCUCCUCUGGUUCUGUUAGUAAUCAUGCACUUGUUUGGAAGUCUACUUUAAAGGGAAAUACUUUGCAUUGGGAAAUUUUGUAUCAGUUCUUUGCUCCUGCGUAAAUUUUGAAAGGUAAUUUGUGUCAUUAAACCAUUUUCUUCUAUGAUGUGAUGCUUGGAACAGGGUCGUUUCAAGAAUCUACGUGAUAUUAUGGAGAGGCCUGGGCACUGACAGCAGAGGGGAGGGAAAAUGUAAUAAUACUUAUCAAGAAAGGCCCAACUGUAAACAGAGAUCAUGACUAUUGAGGGAAUUCUAAACACUGUUGAAAAAUACACCACCACUGCUGCCACCAUUUUUUGAAUAAGCACCCAUUGGCAGUGGAAAAACGGUGGUUUAAGCUGUAUUUCAGUAAGUCUCUCGAAUGUAGGACUACACUGCCUAUUUAAAUUAAUUGAUUUUGCAGUAGAGCUUCAGUUGGCCUGAGAAGACAAGUGUCAAUACUAGUAACAGUAAAGUAAAAGUAGCAAGUGUCCAAAAUACAGGAUGAUUAAAAAGGAAUUUGUCAGUUUAAAAUUUUUCUAUACUGCAUGGAUACCAAUUGCCUUACUGAAGCACUAGUUGAAAGGGCUUUUUUUAAAAAUAGUUCUUUUCUGGAGUGUUUUUGCUGUAACCAUUUGGAAAAUCUUACCUGAUCAAGCAUAGCUUACUUUUUUCUCCUUUUGAAAUUUGUCUCUUCGCUGGGACAAAUUUUAUGCAGAAAAUUGAGGUGGCAAUACCAAUGCUUAAAUGGAAUACAGAUUUUUUUAGCUGAAAUUGUUCUCUUCAGCCUUUUAGUACAUAUUUGAAUUGGUUAAUAUUCCUAAUGCCUUUGAAAGUUAAUUAAUUUUAAGCUAUGCAUUUUUAUUUCUUUCGAAACUUUUCUCAGUGGGCUAUCAUUCUGUGGUUUGUUUGCCUGCUGUUAAGGGAGCCAGGAGUCUCUCUCCCCACCCCCUGCCUUUUUUUCCCUCUCUGUCAGUCCUUGUGGUGCCCUGGAGCACAUCACUAGGCAGUGUACUUUCCAGCCUCAACUUACAGGAGCUAGUAGCGUAGGAUGUAUAGAGUUUUUGCUGUAAAAUUAUUUGGUCUCUCUAAAACACUCUUGAGGAGUGACCUUUUCUCAAAAAUCUGUCCCCCUCUUUUUUUGUUGUUGAUAUGGGUAUCUGAAGACUGCACCAAAAAGAAAAAAAAUAUAUGGCAGGGGCACAAGAACUGUCACUAUUGCCUUGGUAUUUUAUACCUUAUUUCAGAUGAAACUUCAAAGUAGUCUUUAGUUGUAUUUGCAUGAAGUUAAAGACAAUUUCAUUCAGUGCUGUUAGUACCAAGACCAAAGAUGCCUGGUUACACUGUAUGUACCGAAUCCCAGGGAAUAAUGCAAAGUGCUUUUAAGCAGGUUGAGUGGUGACAGCUGUGAUAAUCCGGAGCGUGUACCCAGUAUAUUCUGCUCACCCUGCUGGUCAGCCUGGCACAGCUGACACUGAAAUAAAGCUGCUCAUGUCUGCAGUACUGCUGCAACUGGUUGUAUGUGGGGUGGAUAGAUAAAGUGUGCCCAGCUGAUGAGCGAUAAGGUUUUGGUGAAUAAAAGAACAGUAGGAAAAAGCCAGCAGUUCUACAUAUAGGACCUUCGAUAGAAGUGCAAAUGUAGGGAGACUAUACUCCUUUCAUCUUGGGCAGUACAAGUGGUUUGGGGUUAUACUGUGAACUUCGUGCUGUGAAAAUCAUUGAACUGGUCUGAACCAGAAACCAUUCCCCUUUGGAAAUUGUUUCCUUCAACUAUGUUUUGUGGCUUACGGUGUGGCACCCUAUGCACUCGUAGUUAACAGCAGAAUGAAGAUGGUAAGAAAUGUUCAUUCAGCAGAGAAAAUGCCAGAAGUAUGUGAAUUCUGGGUGAAUUGGAGGAGGAAAUGGAGGGGGAAAAGCAGCCUCACACGCAAAACUAAAAGAGCAUAGGGGAUGAAUUUUCAUUGCUGCAAGACAAUACAACAAACCAAAAGCUAAGCUUAUGGCUGCGGAGCUGUAAAUUGUGGCAUGAGGUUGGGUUAUGGUAAAAGACUAGGACUGUAGAUUUUCUUUCUGUCACUGUCGCCUAUUCUUUCACCAACAUGGAAUUGGCCUCAUCUCAGAAUGGGGCUGCUCUGUGGUUGUGAAAACUUCUGUUUGUCUGGCUGUUGUACUUCACGUUACUCUCUUUCUGAGCCCACGGAAGCAACCUCUGCAAGUUUGGCGUACUCUCAGAAAAAAGCUAAGACAAAACAUAUUGACUAGGCACUGGAAAAUCAUGUUAGAAUAUUUCAUGUGGAUGAAAGAAAGAAUUAACUUUCUCUUCUCUUUCCUUUAUUCAGAGCAAAUUGAGGAGUGACUCCAAAUGGCUGAAUUACACAAGACAUAGGAGAAUCUGUAUCCAGACACCAGUGUCCUAUGUCAGAGUACAAGUUUGUCCAUCUAGUAUAAAGUUUUACAUAGCUAUCCCUUGCGGCUGUGUCUGAGCAUUCAUGCUUGUGUUUCCUACAGUAGUAUGUGUUUUAAGUAUUCAUGUUUACAAUACGGCAGAAAUUUGAAAACUUACUGUGAUUACCUACUGCAUAUUGGUUAUGUUGUGAGAUGAGCAAUGAGAGAGAAAGUCGAAUCGUAACUGCACAGCCUUAGUGCAGAGGAAUGGGGUUGCGUGGGUGUCUCUGAGGGCAUGAUUUCUUCUGCAGUAUCUUCAUUACUGGUAACAUUUGGAAGAUAUCAUUCAAGAAAAGAUAAUCUUUUCCUUCUCAAACCAUUAUCUGUUACAGUGUCACUAAAAGAUGAUAAACAUAGUCUUGUAUGGACUCACUCUUCAAAGCAGGAUCUUACUUUAAAUCAAAAGUCAGUGCAGAUUCUAAUGCGUUGUUAGUGGGCUCUAGUUCUAUCCCUCUUCAUUUGAUGGAAGGAGAGGACAUAUACCGCUUACUUCUCUGGGACCAAAGAAAUCCAAAUGAAUGCUGUCAACGAAGGCUGCCUGGAGUUGGUUAACAGGCAUUACAAUCGGUCUGAAAGUGUUAAAAAGGUGAAGUUCUACAAGACAGAUCUCUGAUAAUCUGUUAUGAACUUGAAGCAGGAGUGGUCAGUGUCUUGUGGGAAGAAACAUAUUCUAUGAGGAGACACAUGCUAGAUAUGAAAAGCAAACACUGAGCUUUGGAUAUCUGUUCAGGAGAGAAGGUGAAAGAAGUAUGGAAGAGGUGAAAGAAGGAGGGAGGAACAGCUUGAGGUCUGGACCCUUAAGAACAUGGCUGGUUACUCUUCUAAAAAAUACAGUUGAUAAACAUACAUUGUUUCUCCACAUGUUAAAGCAUCUUUAAAGUAUUUUAAAAGAUGAUAAAAUAUUUUGGAAGAUUUUAAUGAUAAACCAUUGAGGGGAGGAAAGAACGUCACCGAAAGAGUUAUACACAGGAGUGAAUCUGGAAAUUCUGAUUUGAAACUGUGAGAUUCUUGUAUACCAAGCAAAUGCAAUUUGCACUAUGUGAAGGGAUGGAGACAACUCUAAAAUCUAGCUUCAUCUUUCCUGCCGGAUUCUGAGUAGUGCAGUAUUUUGAGUGUUGCAAGCUUACAAUUUUAUCUGCUGGAAGGAAGGGUAGUGCACCAAAUUUUAUUUAGAUGUACAUUUUGCACAUGCAAAUUUGGCUCAUUGGUAUUUAAAGCUCCAAUUAAAGUGUGUGUCUUGUGAGCAGAGCAGUUAAAAUGUGAUUUGCCAUGCUUGUGCAUAUAUGCACAAUCUUAGUAAGGUGCAUCAUUACAUCAUAUCACUUAAUUUACAGAUCUACAGAGUAUAUCCUCUGUAAGAACAUCUGUCUUAAUUGAGAAAUAUUUAUCCUGUGAUUCAUUCAAAGCUUUGGUUGCCAUCAAAUGCAGCAAAAUAAUCGAAACUGUAAUAUUUUAUUUUUUUUUUUAUUACAACAACCUGAUCACGUUAUGCUUAUUUGUGCUAGAAUCAGAGGCAGAAAGACUUGCAUUAAUGGAAGAAUCCUACCCUUAAUUACACAAUUACCGUAAAGAAAGAAGCUGUAGCUCCGUCUGACAGGCCUGAGGUGAGGGCUUCCAGGUGGUGCCAGGAGUGAUCACCACAGUGUUUUACUAUGCUUGGAAAUGUUGAAGACGUGUCAAGAGAUGAGACAUCAAACACUUGUUGUAAGGUUUUCAGGAUCUUUUUAUUUAAUUUUGCAAUUCGAUUGAAUUGAUAUUUUUAGGGUACAACAAGUGUAUUACUGAUUUUAUUACAUAAAGAAAGGGCAUAUUGUAAACCUAGAAUGCAAAAGAAGAAGCGAUAGUGAAGCAAAUUCUUGACUGAUACACACUAUAAGAAACCUGUUAGGUUGGCUUCUGUGCUGUGGUUAAAUCAGGGUUGUAUUUGUCUCCUUGUGCACAUAUUCUUUUUCUCAUUGCUUUCAGGUUUUGUUGGGUGAAAGUCUGCUGAUCCUGUCAUCCCAGGAAUAUUUUGAAAGAAAAAACUUAGAAUUAAUUAAAGGUAUAAUUGGAAGAAUGAAACUACCUGAAAUAAUGCAAAAGCAGAAAAUGUAGUGUAUUGCAUCUCACGGGGAAUCAAAAGAGACAGUUCUGACUGAAAAAGUAAUGCAGAUGGAUGACAAUCAGGCAGGUGUUACUCAACACUUUUUUUGGAACUGGCACAUCAUCAAAAGAAAAGUAUAACUGGAAUUCACUCUAACAGAGAAUCAGUCUCAAACAUUUCAGAUGAGCAGGAUCUGUUUGAUGUGUCAUCUUCAUUCCUCAAGCAUAAAUCUGCCACUGAAUGUGACAAAGAACUGCAGCUUCUUAACCAGUGAUACAGACAGGAUGAAAAUGUUUCAGGUAUUUACAGACCGCAGCCUACCAGGUUCGUGUGGAGUUCCUUCUGUUCAGAAGUUGUUUGGUAAAGGAAUAAACAUGGUUUUCCUUCCAGUCUGUUAAAGAGAUGAAUUUAUUCCUCACUAAUCUGAAAGUGGUUCACUUCUUUAAUCACUGGAAAUUCUAUGACUAAGCACUUGCAUGAAAGAAAUACUAAGUCUGAAGAGUUUCCUUCAACAUUCUAUCCCUCAAAUGAAUAGUAUAUUUAUUUAAAUGAGCAGCAGUGCUCUUCUCAUUAUAAGUGCAGCAUUAGAAGGUAUCAUCUGAAGGAAGAUUUCCGCUGAAUCUUUAUUAAUGAUGCUAGUAAUACUAUCAUCAAUAGGCAUAUGAGAUUUUAUCCCCAUCUUAGAGAUGGAGUAACUGAGCCCAGCUGAGAUAUACAGUUACUAAAGCAGAAGUAUAAGUAAAGACUCCAGCCUGUAUCUGUCCAUCUGCCAAACUGUGCAGCAAAUUGGUAGGCUAGAGCUGCACCUACCUGCAGUAAUGGUAUUCUUUUAUCAUGCUUUAUGAUUAGAGCAGCUUCUUAAUUUUCCAGUAUGUUCUCACAGCUUGUCUUUUACUCAUCUCAAUAGCACAUUUUACAGGGAUAUUUUCAGCAGUGAUCCUGCACAGAGGCAGCAAGCUAAGAGCAAAUGGCUGAGCUUUUCCCAGAAACUACGUAAGAUAUUUCAAAAGUAUGCUCCGCUUGCUCUCGGGGAGGAAGCAUCCACUGAGCUUGAAACAGCAAGAGGUUGAUGGAGGAUUCAAGAUUCAGGGCUCUCCAGAAGAUCACUGUUACAGCUUCAAGAGGAAGACCUGUGACUUAGAAUACAACCUGUCAAGCAAGCAGUCUUCAAAAUGUUUUGACAUUCACCUGGUGAAAACAGAAGUUAAUGAAAAGAACUGUGAAGCACAUCAGAAUAUCACAGAAAGCAUCCACGCGUAGGGUUGCAGCAAUUACUUUAUUUGCACCUGCUUCAUUAAUCAUCUGGGCUAUCAUCUUGUGUCAUUCAGCUGUAUUCCAGAUACGAAUACCACUGAGAUAAUACUCUGGAAUGCAAAGACCACAAGCUUGUGGCAAAGUUACCUUCAGUUUGUCUUGGAGACUCUGUUAUCUUACAACCUUUGGAAAAAGAAGUAUGUGAAGAAACAGUCAGGUCUUUACACUGUUCCUUGCCAAAGUAAAGAGUACAGGUUCCAUAAGGAAAGGCUACUGCUUGGCCUCCCUGAGAAUGGGGACCUCUUUGUCACUGGGAAUUUAGAGGCUGCAUUUGUAAAGGGUUGGCUGAGCUGAAAUACAAAGAAAACUCCUGAGCAACCUAUUCUGGCAGGCCAUCUUCUGUCAAAGGCCACCAGGGACCUGUACCAAAGGCUUCACCCGAAAGGAGAAUAAGCAAGGGAGCAACAGGUGACAACUUUGACUUCUGUAGCGCUGCAGAGCUGGAGCUGAAACAGUGGUUGUGCAGGCCAUGGAUUUGCGCUGAAAUACAAAUUAUUGGAAUAAAUAAAUGAGGUCAUUGUCACCUUCCUUAAAGCCAGAGCGUCCUUGUCUUCAAGUGGGGAGAUCAAAAAGACGCAGGCGAGACUGAUGUACAAUUAUUACAUUCCUUCAGCUGCAAGAAUUAGUGACUGUAGCUGCCUCAGAAGUGGGAAGGAGGAACUGUGACUCUGCUCACUUAAAUGCUAUUUAAGCAGCAUUACUAUCUCUCCAGACAUUGGUCUAAACCAGUGGUUUCCAGUCUUUUUUUCCAUCUGUAACCCCGAAGUUUUGUCCACUGGCCAGGCAGUUCUGGGUGAAUGGAAGAACUUUGGACUCCAUGGGAAAGGUGCAAGGAAACUAAGGCGGAGAAGGAGACUGGAGAAGAAGGUGAAACAAGAAAUAGAAAAAAAGGAACUUACUAGUGAAAACAUAAUGCCAUUGCUUAGUACUUGCUUAGUGGAGAUGAAAAGUCUCGAUGCCCCGGGCGAUUGGGCCAUUCAUCACAUCCUGUGCUUUUAAACGUGCCUGAGUUGUGGAUCCGGAUUUUGCUGGGAAGAGAACGGUCAGCUUUCCCCAUGGACUUCGUGCAUCUGUGGUAGCAUAACCUUCAACUCAGUUCAGCUCACUUUUGCCAGGGGAACGCACGGAACACCGGCGAUGCUCAGCGUGUGCCCUUAGGUAGGGUGGAUCUGAUGGCUCUGCUCUCCCUCCUGUCCUGCUGGCUGAGAGUAAAUACUACACUCUUCAAACGAUUUUCAGAAAGAACUUUCAGGAGAAAAGGUUUAAAAAUUAUUGAAAAAUGAGCCAUAUGUGUACUGCUUGGCAGUUACAGAUGAUGCCAGUAGAAUCGGGUUUGGAGUCAUGAUGGAAAGAUGGGUAAACUCCUGAAUAUGUUCCUCUUUUGUUAUUACAUGAAUGUAAUACUCCACAAUCAUGAAGUCCCUCUACCGAAUCACUUACUCAGAAAGGAAAAAGGAGGAAGCUGGCUAAUGCUGAUAAGGAUAAAAGUUUGGGAUCCAUUUGAACACCAGCAUACCAUUACUCCAGGUUAUGAAGGCAUACGUCACCCGCAAACUCCAGCUGCUGGAGGAAAGGGCAAAAGCAGUCCUACUUGCAGGUCUGUAAAACCAAUUAUUAUUCUGGUAAUGCUUCUACAAUUCUAUUUCUCAUCCUUCUCCAGUAAUAGAUGGCACAUUACCAUUAAACAUUUACAAGGCAAAAUUUCCAAGUAGGCACUCAUGUAGGUAUAUAGUGGGCUGUAACUCUAGUAUGGUUUUGAUGUUAUCUUAGUUUUAUUUUUUAUUUGAGGAAUGAUAGGUACUUUCUCCUUUUAAAUGGGAUAUUGGGAACUUAAACUUUGCUAACUGAUGAGGUCAAAAGGAGCCCCAGAAUAAUUCUGUGGGUGUCCAGUAGCAGCCGACAGACUAGGGGGCAUGCAGCCCCACCUUUGGCCAUGCACUGGACAGCGGGAUCAACGAUCCCAGUUAGCAAUCCCUCCCUGUCUUGGGCACCAGGCAUGGGUAAAGCGUCCCUCAGGCAACAAUUAAAGGCAUUCUUCAAGGCCUGAAAAGCACAUAGUCCAGAAAGGAGAGGGUCAAAAAUAGUCAAAGAGCAAGAAAGCAGAACUAAGGAAAUAACAGUACCAGAUAGCCUUCAUGCAAAUAGCUGAAAUUUGUUUACCACAGGUUCCCUUUAUUCUAGGCUUUCAGUCUUAUAUGCAUUUCCACCACUCAAAAUAAUAACCAGCGAGAAAGCAGGAUCUCCAUACAAGCCUGAAAGGGACACAUAGCUUUCGUGGCACAAGUAUGAAUGCUGGGGCACCUGUGGGCAAAUGAAUUAAUUGCAAAACCUCUGUCCAUCUCUCUCCUCUCUCCUUAAAAUAAACAAACCAACCGAUAGCGUUCCUCCACUGCCAGCAAACGCAGCUCCUGUGGUAACCUCACACAGUACCUGUCUGGGCUGCUGUCUCCCAGAUGAACCCUGCUCUAUUCCUCACUAGAAGGUUACAGUUGCAAGUAAAUUGCAGUCUUUUUCCCCAAAAGCAUGAAACAGAUUUACGCACCUCGAAGUUGUCAGAUUUUUAAAUUCAUACUGCAUAUAAUUGCGUAGCAUCCAGUUUGCCUCCCACAAAAAAACCUCUGCCUCACUGAGACCGUGCAGGGGCAAAAUGAAGUUUGGUGUGGUAUCUAUAAGCCUACCAUUUCCUAGCCUGACUGGUGACCUAAAUAAAACUUUCAGUAUUAGGUUUUUCCAAGAUGUAAUUUAUACUAUGGCUGUCAGGAGUUAAGAUAGCAGUUGCCAUGGAGCUUUAAUCUUUUUUUAGGCUUUAGUCAAAGGAAGCUGGAAAUCUGUAUGCUGGGUAGAACCCUGCUCAACAGAAUUAUAUUUAAAUUGGGACAGGAUUUUAUCCUAAUUUCUCUACUGAAAGUUAUUCUCAAAGGUUCUAGAAUUCUUUUUAUUUUAUUCUGUUUCUCAGCAGGAGAUUAAAGUUUCCUUUUAGGCUUCUUAAAUCACACUACAUUCAACCACAGAAGCACCCAAGUUACUUCCCCUCCACUCCUCCAACUAUAAACUGUAACUUUCUACUAGUCUUAGUAGAAACGUGCGCAGCUAAUCACUGUAGUGAAACUCAUUCACUAGUUUUUCCAUUUUCAGUGGAGGUAUUCUGUAAGUAUGCAGAAGCGAAACUUUGGGGAGGAUUUUAUUUUCUAUGUGCCCACUAAGCACUAAUCCCCCUACGCUGGAAAACAGGCCUUUGGAACAGGAGAAGUAAUUACACUUUGAAUCUGUGUGUAUGCUACUUAUAACCUACUUGACGUAUAUUUCAGGAAAAAAAGCAGCAUGCAACUCGUGAAGUGCAUCCCCAAGUACAAAAUUGGCCAUGCUAUAGUGAGUGAUGUUCUGCUAGAACACAGCUGCAGCACAACAGAGAUGCAGUCCAGUGUAAUACUUGCCGUUAAAACAUUGCUGACUUAAAAUUGAAGUGGCCCUACCAGGUAAACCAAAGGAAAGCAGAAAUAGCUGGGGAAAAAAAUUGCAAAAUUUGUCAAAAUAAGCCUUUAGAACAACUGCCCUACCCCGACCAAAAAUUAGAAAGGGUUCAGAUGCAAUAUGAGCUUGAUCGUAAGAGGCGACUUGGAUUCGAAGGCAAAUGACAGCUUCAUUUAAUGAAAAAUUUGGUAGAAUUUUCACUAAAUAGAACUGUUUACUGGCCAGCUGUAGUGGAAAUCCAUAAUCCUAGAGUUGUUCCAAAGACUGCAGGGUAAUCAGGAAAUUGGCACAAGAGAGAAUUUAAAACUAUUUCAAAUCUUUUGUGGCAUGUAUUAUAAAAAAGGCAUGAUAACAGUAAAAAAUAAACAUCUUUUUCUUUCUAAGAUGUCCAAGUCUGUGGGACUUGAACACUUGCACAGUAGCAUCUGGUUUUACCACUGACAGUCAAAUGUCUUGCCUAACUAGCACUGGACAGAAAAACUAUUCUUGUGGGUUUGAGUGACAGCCCUGCUCAUCUUGAGAGGCUGUCCAGCUGUCCCUUCCACUGAAAAAACACUUCUUUGCAAGGUAUCUGCUAGCAGCCAGGAAGAACCUAAAGAAAACUGUACUGUCUGAAAAUGAAAGAAACAAGGAGCAUCUCCAAUCUCUUGAAGACAGCUAUUCAGAGAUGGAAUUGUUCACUGUGCAAAGCUAUGCACCUGUGAAUAGGAUUCAGAAAGCCGUGACGGUCAAGGAUUCUGCUUGAAGUAGCUCAAAAGAACUUUUGAGAAGUGAGGUGAAUAAGCUAAGAAGUGCCUGGCUUCAAGAACAGAUGCUUUACUUUGAAUUGCAGGGAGAUACCCGUCUCCCUUCAAGGUUUUCAGCCUUUCUUGAGUUAGGCUCCUAUAGGAAACUUUCACAAAACAGCAAAUGUUACUACUUCCCUAACCUCAUCUGACUGGUCUAGCGCAGACCUUCCCAACACACAUCUUGGUUAAUUUGUCGGGUCUGUGGCAUUCCACAGGUCAAACCACACUUGGCCUGCCUCAAGUCUCCUCUGCAGACAGCCAGGGUUGCUAGCCCUAACAAAGAUAAAUAUGCUGCUUCUAAACUGUAGCCUUAACAAGUUGCUUUUCCUUUGCCCACAACAGAUUUCUUGGCUGAGACCGAGUAGACAGGCUGUCUUUCAGGACUAAUACAUCUGCCAUUUGAGUUUAAAGCAGGCUUCAGCAACAGCCACCACAAUAGCAUUAGCUUUGAAAUACGCAACAGAACAACUUCAGACAUAUUACCUGAUGUGAUAAAGUACCUUUGCGAUUUGCAGGAGCUUUUAUCACUGCUCUGUUAGAUUCAGGUAUAUGGGGGGGGGGGGGGGGGGGAAGUAUUUAAAGCAAGUUGGGCUUUUAUAUGAAACCUGCACUACUUUUUCCAGUUUGAGGUGCCAAUGUCAAAGACUUGCAGAGCUACAGGAGAUGAGACCUCUUAGUAAAAGAAAUAUAUGUGCAGAUAAGAGGGAGAAAGAACUCUAAGCCCUUAACUUGCUGGUGUGGCAAUCGCUGUGGUUUUGUCCCUUUAGACUGGCUGGGUUUUACAGGAGACUGAACAGGGUGCAGUUCAGCACAGCUGAGUAAAGAAUAAAAACCCAGAUUAAGACUUUUAAGAAUCAGAUCUGUUUGCAGUCAGAAAUGGUAGAAGCCACAGAAGUGCCAAACUGCUAAUUUUAAAGAAUUAAAUCAGACAAACUGUAGUAGUUUCCUUCAAGCUGAAGUUAGAGGCUUUUAAAUGAAGGGGGGGAAAAUAUCUUCAGAGUUAAAAAAUAAUACCUUCUUUACAAAGGCCCACUUCAGUGUUAAAAGAACAUCCAAAAUGGAAAAUCCUUAGGUAAAUUCAGGCAAGAAUGGGGCAUUUCACUUAUUGUUCUGUACCAGUUUCAAGACUUGUCAGUACCACAUUACCAUUUCUGGAUGUAUAGAUUAGUUAAUGCUUGGCAGGGAAAUACAGUUAAAACUAGUUUAGAUACAGAGGUAUUAUCACUGUGCUUUUUAGCAAUGAACAGGUAUGAAUGUACAACAGCAUGCAGAAGACUACACUACAAGAAUUUGUACCUAUCAUGGCCGGUAAUUAACUGUAUUUGGAUUCACGCAGCUUACACAACAGAAUAAAAAGUAACACACGGCAACUGGAGGAAACCUGUAUUAAUCUUGUGUACUAUUCCUGAGCUGGCAGAAUUCCAGAGUCCAAAAGAAAUGCAUCAACUACUGGGAGGUAGCAAGAUGGCUUUUCGUACGUAUACACAAAUAUUAUUAAAUUGCUCAUUUUGCUUUCAAAACA
Long non-coding RNA from Falco peregrinus (peregrine falcon), 13970 nucleotides. RefSeq lists it as uncharacterized. The record is from RefSeq and is a predicted model, not a curated record. The transcript has 11 exons. NCBI's taxonomy places the organism in Eukaryota, Metazoa, Chordata, Aves, Falconiformes, Falconidae.